Molecule: ribosomal RNA, 325 nt
Filed under: uncultured eukaryote
Lineage: Eukaryota
Description: partial 18S ribosomal RNA
Rfam family: Eukaryotic small subunit ribosomal RNA
Source: RNAcentral
CCCUUAGAUGUUCUGGGCCGCACGCGCGCUACACUGAUGCCUUCAACGAGCCUAUCCUUGACCGACAGGUCCGGGUAAUCUUUGAAUCUGCAUCGUGACGGGGAUAGAUUAUUGCAAUUAUUAAUCUUCAACGAGGAAUGCCUAGUAGGCGCAAGUCAUCAGCUUGCGUCGAUUACGUCCCUGCCCUUUGUACACACCGCCCGUCGCUCCUACCGAUUGGGUGUGCUGGUGAAAUGUUCGGAUCGGCCGUUUGUCGCGGUUUCCGCGUCAUGUGGCUGAGAAGUUCAUUAAACCCUCCCACCUAGAGGAAGGAGAAGUCGUAACA